AACGAACGCUGGCGGCAGGCCUAACACAUGCAAGUCGAGCGAAGCCUUCGGGCUUAGCGGCGGACGGGUGAGUAACGCGUGGGAACGUGCCCUUCUCUGCGGAAUAGCCACUGGAAACGGUGAGUAAUACCGCAUACGCCCUUAGGGGGAAAGAUUUAUCGGAGAAGGAUCGGCCCGCGUUAGAUUAGGUAGUUGGUGGGGUAAUGGCCUACCAAGCCUACGAUCUAUAGCUGGUUUGAGAGGAUGAUCAGCCACACUGGGACUGAGACACGGCCCAGACUCCUACGGGAGGCAGCAGUGAGGAAUCUUGGACAAUGGGGAAACCCUGAUCCAGCCAUGCCGCGUGAACGAUGAAGGCCUUAGGGUUGUAAAGUUCUUUCGCCUGGGAAGAUAAUGACGGUACCAGGUAAAGAAGCCCCGGCUAACUCCGUGCCAGCCGCCGCGGUAAU
Molecule: ribosomal RNA, 449 nt
Filed under: uncultured bacterium
Lineage: Bacteria
Description: bacterial SSU rRNA
Rfam family: Bacterial small subunit ribosomal RNA
Source: RNAcentral